RNAcentral lists this transfer RNA (87 nucleotides) under Escherichia coli K-12. RNAcentral describes it as "tRNA-Leu". Lineage: Bacteria; Pseudomonadati; Pseudomonadota; Gammaproteobacteria; Enterobacterales; Enterobacteriaceae. The record is from RNAcentral.
CGCCUCCGUGGUAGCAAUUCUUUUUAAGAAUUGAUGGUAUGCGAAGGUGGCGGAAUUGGUAGACGCGCUAGCUUCAGGUGUUAGUGU